Molecule: ribosomal RNA, 202 nt
Filed under: uncultured Lactobacillus sp.
Lineage: Bacteria; Bacillati; Bacillota; Bacilli; Lactobacillales; Lactobacillaceae
Description: partial 16S ribosomal RNA
Rfam family: Bacterial small subunit ribosomal RNA
Source: RNAcentral
GAUGCUAAUACCGGAUAAUAACAGAUGAUGCCUAUCAACUGUUUAAAAGAUGGUUCUGCUAUCACUCUUGGAUGGACCUGCGGUGCAUUAGCUAGUUGGUAGGGUAACGGCCUACCAAGGCGAUGAUGCAUAGCCGAGUUGAGAGACUGAUCGGCCACAUUGGGACUGAGACACGGCCCAAACUCCUACGGGAGGCAGCAGC